This 237-nucleotide ribosomal RNA is filed under the name uncultured bacterium. RNAcentral's name for it is "partial 16S ribosomal RNA". It matches the Rfam family "Bacterial small subunit ribosomal RNA", at positions 118 to 347 of the family's 1533-position model. The record is from RNAcentral.
UGAGGAACAUGACCUUCGGCGGGGGAGUAGCCGGCCCAACGGCCGGGUAAUACCGCGUACGACCACAUGGGGACAUCCCUGAGUGGUGAAAGCAGCAAUGCGCCGAUGGAGUGCCUCGCGGCCUAUCAGCUAGUUGGUGAGGUAACGGCUCACCAAGGCUUCGACGGGUAGCCGGCCUGAGAGGGCGAUCGGCCACACUGGGACUGAGAUACCGGCCCAGACUCCGUACGGGAGCAG